Molecule: ribosomal RNA, 497 nt
Filed under: uncultured bacterium
Lineage: Bacteria
Description: partial 16S ribosomal RNA
Rfam family: Bacterial small subunit ribosomal RNA
Source: RNAcentral
GAUGAACGCUGGCGGCGUGCCUAAUACAUGCAAGUCGAGCGAACAGACGAGGAGCUUGCUCCUCUGACGUUAGCGGCGGACGGGUGAGUAACACGUGGAUAACCUACCUAUAAUACUGGGAUAACUUCGGGAAACCGGAGCUAAUACCGGAUAAUAUAUUGAACCGCAUGGUUCAAUAGUGAAAGACGGUUUUGCUGUCACUUAUAGAUGGAUCCGCGCCGCAUUAGCUAGUUGGUAAGGUAACGGCUUACCAAGGCAACGAUGCGUAGCCGAUCUGAGAGGGUGAUCGGCCACACUGGAACUGAGACACGGUCCAGACUCCUACGGGAGGCAGCAGUAGGGAAUCUUCCGCAAUGGGCGAAAGCCUGACGGAGCAACGCCGCGUGAGUGAUGAAGGUCUUCGGAUCGUAAAACUCUGUUAUUAGGGAAGAACAAAUGUGUAAGUAACUAUGCACGUCUUGACGGUACCUAAUCAGAAAGCCACGGCUAACUACGUG